AGAGUUUGAUUCUGGCUCAGAAUCAACGCUGGCGGCGCGCUUAACACAUGCAAGUCGAACGAGAAAGGGGAGCAAUCCCUGAGUACAGUGGCGUACGGGUGAGUAACACGUGGAUCAUCUACCUCUUAGUGGGGAAUAACCCUGGGAAACCGGAGCUAAUACCGCAUAAGCUCGAGAGAGGAAAGUCGAAAGACGCUGAGAGAGGAGUCCGCGGCCGAUUAGCUAGUUGGUGAGGUAAGAGCUCAUCAAGGCAACGAUCGGUAGCCGGCCUGAGAGGGCACACGGCCACACUGGCACUGAAACACGGGCCAGACUCCUACGGGAGGCAGCAGUGGGGAAUCUUGCACAAUGGGGGAAACCCUGAUGCAGCGACGCCGCGUGAGCGAUGAAGCCCUUCGGGGUGUAAAGCUCUUUCGGCAGGGAAGAUUAUGACGGUACCUGCAGAAGCAGCUGCGGCUAACUACGUGCCAGCAGCCGCGGUAAUACGUAGGCAGCGAGCGUUGUUCGGAGUUACUGGGCGUAAAGGGUGUGUAGGCGGUUGUUUAAGUUUGGUGUGAAAUCUCCCGGCUCAACUGGGAGGGUGCGCCGAAUACUGAAUGACUUCGAGUGCGGGAGAGGAAAGUGGAAUUCCUGGUGUAGCGGUGAAAUGCGUAGAUAUCAGGAGGAACACCGGUGGUGUAGACGGCUUUCUGGACCGUAACUGACGCUGAGACACGAAAGCGUGGGUAGCAAACAGGAUUAGAUACCCUGGUAGUCCACGCCCUAAACGAUGCAUAUUUGGUGUGGGCAGUUCAUUCUGUCCGUGCCGGAGCUAACGCGUUAAAUAUGCCGCCUGGGGAGUACAGUCGCAAGGCUGAAACUCAAAGGAAUUGACGG
Molecule: ribosomal RNA, 876 nt
Filed under: uncultured bacterium
Lineage: Bacteria
Description: bacterial SSU rRNA
Rfam family: Bacterial small subunit ribosomal RNA
Source: RNAcentral